GGACCCGCACAAGUAGUGGAGCAUGUGGUUUAAUUCGAAGAUACGCGCAGAACCUUACCAACACUUGACAUGUUCGUCGCAACUCUAAGAGAUUAGUUUCUUCAGUUCGGCUGGACGAAACACAGGUGCUGCAUGGCUGUCGUCAGCUCGUGUCGUGAGAUGUUGGGUUAAGUCCCGCAACGAGCGCAACCCCCUACUUUUAGUUGCCACCAUUUAGUUGGGCACUUUAAAAGAACUGCCAGUGAUAGCUGGAGGAAGGUGGGGAUGACGUCAAGUCCUCAUGGCCCUUAUGUGUUGGGCUACACACGUGCUACAAUGGCACUUACAAUGGGAUGCGAAGAGGCGACUCUAAGCUAAUCCCUAAAAUGUGUCUCAGUUCGGAUUGUACUCUGUAACUCGAGUGCAUGAAGCUGGAAUUGCUAGUAAUCG
Molecule: ribosomal RNA, 429 nt
Filed under: uncultured bacterium
Lineage: Bacteria
Description: bacterial SSU rRNA
Rfam family: Bacterial small subunit ribosomal RNA
Source: RNAcentral